ACACACUCGUCACACCUUCUCAGAGGAUUAAGCAAGGCAUAAAUAGGUCUCCUGUUAAUGAGCAUAGUGGUCGUACCUGUCCUGUGCAGGGAAGGACUUGGUAAAGGUGGGAUGCUGGACGUGAAGGGCUAACACACGGAUAAUAGCUGCUGGUGGAGAGCUAGAAAGAGUGGGGUUUUGACAUCAGAGGGGCUUGGGUUUGACUCUUGAGCCAGCCACUUCAGAGCUGCAUAAAUUUAGGUAAACUAUUUAGCGUCUUUGAAACAGGUAACUGUUUCCUCGUCUGUCAUGUGGGCCCUGCCAAUAGCCUACUGGGAGGAUUAAAUGAAAGCAAGCAGACCGGCACAGUGGACAGCACCCCGGGCGUCCUGGCCGUGGGCUGGCAUCCAGGAGACGAUGAUUUCCUCUUAGCGAGAAGGUCACUGUCUCUUGUCACUGAGGACACUUGCUCUCGGGGGAUACCCAGCAGUGAUUGUCUUGUCAGGCACCUGCUGGGUCACAUGGGGUGAGAGAUGUCCCCCGUCCCAACCUCCAUUGCCUCUUCCGUAGCACAGCGAUGAGGGUGUGGGCCUCGGUGAGCUGUAACAGAAGGAGGCAAGCUAAGACGUGGGGAGUAUCUGGCGCCAGACACAAAACGUGCUCAGUAACUGUUAGUUAUCGUCGUGUCUCUUCCUUGGCUAACGUGUGGGAUCAGAGGGGGUUUUAUGAACACGCAGAAGCAGAGACCACUUCAUAUGCUCUUGCCUCCAGAUGUCUGAUCCUGGAUUGUGCCUGGAUGUGGCCGCCUCUGUGGAACCAGGACUCCCAGCACAUUGUCUGCAAGAAAAAGGCUGCAUGUCCUGUCCUGUCUGCCCCGCUGACGGCCUCCCACCUCCCUCCGAGCUCCUGAGCCCUGCGAGGAUCCUGGCUUUCCACAAAGAGCUUAGACAAAGCAUUUGCAGCAAUUCCCAGGUCAAUAAAUCACCGCUGGGGUUAUAAAUUUAAUAGGAUCGCUCGCUCUCCGGGGCCAUUUCAUAGACUCCAUAAAUAUUUGAAGCAGAGCCUUCAGCGAGCACUUUAAGAAAUUGGUAGCAAUCAAAGCCCUCAUUCAGCGGUAAGUGGUUUUGCCUUUGGCUCGAGGUUUUGUGUGGGUUGUCUGAACCCGGGAGAAAAACAGGACCAUGCCCUGCAAAUUCUGAGCAGCUUGGUUUUGGCAAAUGUGAAGGCAGCAAAGGGAGUAUUAUUUGCUGUACCAAAACUUACUGAGUGACGGCCCAGUGGUUCUGAAGUGGGGGUGACUUUGCCGCCCCAGGCCCAAUUUUGGCGAUGCCUGGAGACAUUUUUUGUUGUCACAACGGGGAAGCUACUCCCGGCAUCUAAUGGGUAGAAGCCAGGGAUGCUGCUAACCAUCCCACAACGAAUGCACAGGACGGCUCCCUAGAACAAAGAAUUAUCCAGCCCUACUGUCAGCGUGCAGGCUGGGCGGUCCAGGACUGGUCUCAUAGCUCCUAGCAUUGUCAGCCAUGGAGAACUGUUUGCUUAUUUUCCUGAGCCUGGGACCCCUCCCCAUAUUUGAAAAGAUUUUUGUCUACCAAAUGAAAUGCUUGGUUUAAGUAAUUCUAUAUUUUAAAUUUUAAAACAUUAAAACCAAUCAGAACUUUCUAAUCUGUCCAUUUAUUCAAUAUUUGUUGACACCCAUUAUAUGCCAGGCAAUAUGGUGUGAGGGCAAAAGACAUAAGUCAACACUGGUCCCUGCCCCAGGGACUUUGCGGGACCAUGGGAGAGACACAAACUAUGUAGACAAAUCACUCUGUAGUCGGUCAUACGUGUGCCAUGAAAUGCGUGCUGAAGGGAAGGGCCAGCUCUACCUGGCUUCGGGGAACGGGAGGCCGUUUAGGAAGGACUGGCUGCUGAGAAGAUCCCCGAGGCCCAGUGAGGUGAGGUGGGGAAGGGUGUUACAGUCAGAGGGAACAGCAUGUGCAAAGGCUCGGAGGCAUGAAACUAAACUUUGGGUGUGCCAUCGGAGGAGUGUGUAAAGAAAGCGGCCCCCUGCUAAGCCAGCUGCCAUGGUUCACUGCCUCAUCCCCACCCGGCACUCCACUUCCUCCGAGACCCAAGGGUGGAAGAAGAGUGUCUCCAUCCUGAGGGCAAGACACCCAGAAAAAGAGUCAAGGGGGCUUGGGCCACAUCUGCCCAGGCUCUGUCCCCAGGCUCACCAAUCAGAGACAUCCCCUCUCUCCUUGGGAGCGGGCUGGUGAAAGGCUUGGGGGCAAGGUCAGUAACCGUCCCAACUCUGUUCCCUUCUGGAAGCGCUUGUCAUGUAAAGAGGAGGAAGUGCCAGGACAAGAAAUUGCAGUCCCCUCCCAGGAAGUAGGCAGAGCAUGUGGAUUUUAAAUUAAUGUAUUUAAGAUUUUUAUGUUGAAAUGAAAAGUGCAGAGUUCCCGUAUACCCUCACCCAGCUUCUCCAAAUGUUAACGUCUUAUAGACCUAACCAUAGCACAAUGACAGAAACAGAAGGAUUUAUUUUUAAGAGAACUGGGGGGCUAUCAAGACAUAAGAAAAACUGUGUGACCGAGUGAGCGUCAACGCGCUGAGCGGCUACCAUCUUAAUUAGCCUGUGGGACGGUGCAAUGGGUCAUCACAUCUAUCCCCGUACCCAUGGGUUGAUUUGCCAAUGGACUCAGCCAUCCGUUAGUUCAAGAAGCAUUUAGGGAUAACUGCCAACUGAGUGCUGGGUCCUCGGGUAGGUGCUGGGAGGCGGGAAUACAGAAGAUGCCCGUCUUUGUCCUCAAGGACCUGCUGGAAACCCUUUGGCCCUAUCACCACCGCUCAAGGAGUCCCCCUGUUGGAAACCACUGUUGUCAUCACUUUGACCAUUUCAGUCACCACAGCCGCCCUGUAAUUCCCAGUUGUGCAGCGUCCUGCAGAGCUGGUGGAUAACGUUGGUUUGUGAUCUCCUCUUUUGCUGCCCCCACCAUUUAUUUUGGGACAACGCAUUAACUUUGAGCAGCGGGAAUACGAUGAAGAUGAAGAGAGGAUGUGAACUGGGUGAAGUCAGGGUGGGCGGCCAGCGGAGCCUCCCUGCUGAGCCAGCAGCACGCACGUGGCGCCAGCUCCGGUCUCCAGGAUCCUGCCUCACUCACACCCUGGGCCUCAGCAUAGAGGCGACAGAGGAAAUCCAUUAAAGGAAGCCAAGGCAGUCGUUGCAGCAUAACCCGCUGACCAUAAUAAAUCAUGUUUCGAAGCCAGAAACCACUUAUUAACCCACACUGUGAAUUCCCGCCUGGGGCUAGCACUUUGGGUUGCCUCAAACUGGGUCAUUGCUUUGUGCUUUGAUUCCUUAGUGGCUCUUUUGAGAUGGUGGAUGGCAGACUCCAGCGUUUUUCUUGCCUUGGCUGUAGCCGCCAGCCCUCAGAAGAGGCCUCCUUGGUGGGCCUGACGCAGCCAGGGCCCAGCCUGGUCAGAUGCUCCCCAGACUGGGGGACGGCGGGCAGGACCUGCUCAUGCCACCAAGCAGGGCCAGGCAGGAUCUCAGCUUGCAGGAGCUGGUUCCAACCACCCCACGCUCCAGGAACGCCACUGUGAUGACCUGAGGUCUCUGGAGACCAGCCAGAUGGGCCAGCCCCGCCACAGUGGCAGAAAACAUUUGUCAAACCGCUGUCAGCAAGUAACAAUGGUGGCCUUCCCUGCGGGCGUCUGGCCAGGCUCUGCUGAGAUGGAGCCCUGAACCUGUGAGGCAGACACCCCGCCUGCACAGUGGCCAACACCCAGGCCUUCGCUUCUGAGCAGCGCGGCACGGACUGUGGGACCUGAACUCAGAGGCCUGUUCACUCACAUCCCAGACCCUCCACUUUGCCAGCUGUGGGCCUGGAGCCAAGGCUCCCGAAGGCUGGGGUUCUGCUGUAAAAGUGGGAAGAACCUCAUCAUAGCAUCACCCACCCUACCUCACUGGAGCCUUGAGGGUGACAAGCGCCCCGCCCCUGGCACUCCCGGCCCAGGAGCCCAUGGAGGACCUGGCCUUCUCCGUUCCUGUCCAUGCUGCACGCGGCCCUGCCAGCUGGCUUCCCCACGGCACUCAGUUAAAACAAAGGAAAGAAGACAGCACAGAGGCAAGCCCAUCCAGCUGGAAAAUAUUUACAUCCCUCUCAACUGAGCAAUGGAACAGAGGCAGCCCCAUGAUUUGCAAUCCCUUCCAGGGAGCUGAGUUACAAGCCAAAUGACCAUCUUUCUAUUUUAAGUCACUCAUGGCGGCGUCUCUCCUCUAAUACCAACUGGGCAGGCAACUCAAGAGAUGGCUGUGGACUGUCAGGAGCCUGUAUGCAUUGGCCUGGGAUGGUGGAAGGAACCUGGGGCUGGAGUCCCAAGGUCCUGGCUGGCUCAGCCACUCCUAAGCUGUGUCACUUUGCACAAAUUACCUACCUUCUUGAAGUUCCACUUCUGCAUCUGUUUGAGGUCCCUAACGCCUCCUUGAAGUUUUGUUCUGACAACCAAAUGAGCUCAUGGCUGCAAAAGUGCCCCGAAUGCUGUCAGAUGCGUCCCACGUGUCUGGGAUCUUGUUUAUAAAGCGUGAAUCCAUCUUCUCUCUUUCACGAUACUGACCAUCGCUCAGAAGCACACUCUGCCAGAAGUACUCAUUACACUUAAGUCCUUGUAGCUGCUACCCAAGAUGGGUGAUAUGGGGCAUGGCAGGAUAAUGGUUUUAAAAAACCUUAGCAGUCAUCAAGAUAGUAUAGAGCUCCUGUCUGUCCCAUGGGACAGAGCUCAGAGAGUUCUUAGCCCACAGCAGGCACAUAGGCAGCCCUCAGGCCAGAUCAGGCUCACAAACAUGUCUUGUUGGGCUUAACUUUUUUAAAAUCAUGGUAAAAUACAUAUAACGUCUAAUUUACCACCUUAACCAUUUUUAAAUCCCCAGGUCAGUGGCGUUAAGUAUAUUCUCAUUUCUGCGUGACCAGCACCACCGUCCAUCUCUGUGGCUUCACUCCAAGGCUCGGCUUUGUUUCUGGGUGUGGGUUGCCUCUGUAUCUGGGCCCUGUCCAUUACCCUGCCAGCCCCAGGCAGCGUGCUCCUCCUGGGACCCUGACCAUCACUCUCCACUGGUAUUUCUGUCUACCUGUGGUGCUUCUGUUACCACCGCCCUGUCCAGAGUCCUCAAGGGAGACCUCUGAGCUCCUUUGGGGCCAGUGAGGCACCCCUAGGGGGAGUAGUCCAUCCCACUGCACAUAGCAGGCCUGGUGUGGCCCCCGGCAGAGCCUUGCAGCUUACCUUCAGGCUUUGGAUGAAAUGGGAACGUGAAUGGAGAAGUGCUUUGUAAACUCUUACGUUCUGCAUGAACAUACAGGAUUUGACUUUCAUAGGCUAGAGCGCUGAGGGAAGCCCUGGUACGGGAGGUAGAGAUUAGGGCUAAAACCAGAAUCACUGUGCUGGAGUUAGGCACUGCAGCUUCUUAGCUCCGAGACCGUGGGAAAGUCGCUUCCUGCUUCAGUUUACUCACCUGGAAAUAAGGUAAUAAAAUACCUGCCCAGCCCCUGCUAUAAGCAUUAAGGGGUAAAGUGGAUGGGAAGGCACUUUGCAGACUUCAGUUUCGUGCAUAUGCUUUAUCCACAUCACCGAGUCAAUGCAUAUCUGUUAUGCACCUACUGUGUGUCGUUCUGAACGAUUUGGUCUAUCUUGUGACAGUUUGGAAAAGGACCCCAGGCUAAGGAAGAAAAGAAUUGCCUGUCAGAUGGUUGUACUGCGCACUCAUAGAUUAUGAUUAGCAACAGCCAGCGAGUUGGCAUGGCAACGUUCCCCACGAACUGCUAGGCAGUGUUCUUAAAAUAGGUUUGCCAGAGGUGUGAGGGGGCCACGACUCACACAGGCGGUGUGUCCGAGGCUUCUGCAGACCAAGGUGGCUGCACUGCCCUCCGUGUGCUCAGACUGGUCAAGCCACUGCCCUUCCCAAGCAGGCCAGGGGCACAGUCAUUAAGACAACAGAUCCAGAGGCAUCCGUCAUUAGAGCUGGAGACUUUAUCUACGAUAAACACUCGCGCCUUUCCCCAUUUUACAGGUGGGGAAACUGGAGCCCAGAGAGGUUAAGUGGCACACGUGUAGUCACACAGCUCUUGACGGCAGUUGGGACUGAAUUGGUUCUGAUGUUAUUCAUGGAAGGUUCUCCCCUGUGCCACAAUGCACGCUCUUCUCAUCUGGAAUUCUAGGUCUGGGCCUGAUGCAAUUCAUUUUCUAAUGGGUUACAAUCCACAUGGCAUCACUUAGCAACAGGAAUUAGAUCAAGGAAUUCUCUCCACGCCCCUAUUUCCCCCCAGGAAGCCCUGAGUCCCAAGCUGUCAUGGAGGCUCACCUUGUUCUUGGCAUGGCUGAGAUGACUGUGGUUUCCAUCCACCCCUCCACAGCCUCCCUAUCCUUGUUUCCCAGUGUGAAAUUCAGGCAGCCAAGCUGAUCAACAGUUUACCAAUCGCUUUGCAAUCAGAUUAUUGGAUGAGUUCAGUUACCCAUUAUCGCAGAGGAGUGGGAACCCAAAUCCUUUAAAAGAUGAGUUCCUGUCUUACUAUCUGUGUUGCUCAGCGAUGUAGUGAAUAAACUUCACAGACUGGAGGGGGAGAUUUUUACCUUCAGGCAGGUGCGUUUCUGCUAAGAGAUCACAGCUCUUGUUUAAUUCCAGGGUGAAAUUCCAGGUCUGGAAUGUGAAACUUCUUGAGAACUCGGUCAACUUCUGAGAACAGGGUGCUAGACAUUUUUGACAUGUUUUAGCUAGUCAGCCUUUUUAUCCCUAUUCAGACAGCACCUCGCAGGGGAAGGGGCUCCAGGCGGGGAGAGUAGGGGAGGGGGUAGCAUGAGCUCUGCCACCCCCGCUCUGGGCCAUUUGUAGGAUGUAACGGUUGCACUCCAUCCUGGUGGUGACUUUUCCCUCUGUUUGCACGUCGCACUCACCUGCAGAGCUCUUUAAAAAACCAAAGCCAGGCCCCAUUCGAGGCCCCUUAAAUCAGGUUGUCUUGCGUGGGGUCUAGGCAAGCGGUCUUUAAAAGCCCCCCCCCAGUGAUUCUAGUGGGCAUCCAAGGGAGAACCCUCAGACCUUAGUCUCACAGGCCCUCCCAGCUCUCCCAUCCCCCGUGUUGAUUGAAUUCUCAGAUGCUGCUGCGAGGUUCUUCCACGUCGGACUCCUAUUUGUCUUUGUUACUCCUGGGAAAGAAAUGUGUACUCAGGAGUGACAGGAGGAAACGUCUCAUCUUUGAAAUAUUUUUGAUCAUGUGUCGGCUUUGUAAACUCACCUGUAAAGGCCCUUUUAAGUAGCUAAUGGUGCUUAUGCAAAUGAAAUGCAUGACACUCCAUGGGACUCAGCUGCACUCUGCCAGGACCUGGGUGGGGAGCUUGUGGUGGCUGAUCUCAGGGCAGUGACAUGAAAGUCACUGGGCCAUGUGAUGAUAAACACACGAAGUGGACAUCUUGGGUUCAGCUGCACGCAUCCUCACGUCUUUCAGAAAUAGAUAUUCUAAGUCCACUAUGAUACAUAAAUUUACCAGUGUGUAAAUAGAAGCAGAUUUCUAUUUGGCGUUUGCAGUGAUGGCCAACCGUUUUCCUACCUGGCUUUGAACUAAAUUCUUUGGAAAUUCUCUGGUGGCUUCAGGAGGCAGAGAAGGAGAAACCCCUGGGUUUUUUUUUUUAUGUAUUUAGCGCUCUUUCAUGUUUUAUGAGAAUUCCUAGAAAAAGAUGGUGCGUGCCUUGGACCUAAAACUGCUUUUAAGAAGUCAGUGGGCUUAGGAUGGAAGGAUUGGGUUUCUUUAUCCCAUUCGAUUUUCCCUAAAUUUUACUCCAGUUUCAGCAAGAAUACUCCCAUCCGACUCUGACUUCUGUAUCCUUGGCAUACAUGUACUACAUAGCCAUGGAAAGACUAACGGGAGAGGUGACACCAUCAAAACACGGUUUCUCCAACACCAUUAUUUUUUUUUUACUUUGAAAAACAUUAUCAUGCUAUACCCAAAGGUGGGCUGAUGACACCUUUAUAUGAUGAUAGAACAAGGGAAGAGAAAGACCAAGGAAUGGGAUUGUUCAAAAUGUCUGAACACUUGAUGUAAACUUGGUAUCAGUGUUUUCUUUUUAAAGCAAAGUGAUAUAACACAGUGUUUGUAAAUGUGUCAUUUAAAGUCAUUGGGGCAAUAAAUAUCUAUGCAACAAUGUUGUAACUAUUAACUAUUAGACUUUUCACUGGAACGAGGACACGUCCUGCCUCUGACAGAGAGCGGAGGAUGAGUUAUGGACCAGAUACAGUGGGUUUGAACUAGGACCCUGCCACCCACUGGCUGUGCUAGCUUGGCACAGCACACUUACCUUUCUUAGUCUCAGUGUCUCUAUUGGAAAGGUCAGGGGAUGCGUGGACAUUAAUGAGUUAGCGCAUGUUUCCUAAAGCGCUCGGCACAUAUUCGUGCUCUGUGAUGUUGGAAACGCCCCUGUCCCCGCACCUCUUUGAAAAUGCCCAGAUGCAUUUCAGUGCCACAGUGGGGCAUGCACCACCGACCUGAGUUGGAUGAUAAGAUGAUCUCCCGAAGUUCAGGUUUGCACAACCAACGUUUGAUGGAGAGGCGGGGACGGAGUUUGGGUGUCACUGGCAAAGGCGAUGGACGAGGCUUGCGAGUUCCUUUUGGCAGAACCUUCCCGCCUCCUUCUUCCAGGAUGAAGCCUGAGCUGAUAGCACAUGGAAGCUGUGACGCACAGACAUCAAUUUGAAAACUGUGUGUUCCCACUGGAUCCCAAAUGCACAAUAACUCUACAACUUGCGAGCGCAUGAAUCUAACAGGACUCCUCUAUUAUACGUCUCCAUUCAUGAACACAAGGGUCAGAAUGUUCAUAGUCCAAGUUCAGCCUCUCUCUUCACUUAGAAGCACUGGUUUCCAUGGGAGUGGUCUGGCCACUUGAGAGGACCCCCUUCCUUUUGGAGGUUCUUCAGCAGGACCCUCCCUUGGGUGCUGGAGCAAGGGCUGUCACCCAACCCCUGCCUGCAGUGGAAUGAGCAACCAGCCCUUGGAGACACUCGUCAGAUUCCCGACCAUGUUAAUUGGGUUCAACACUCCUUCUGGGUUUUCAAGAUGUGUAACGAUUGCUCAAUCUUGUGUAAACUAGGCUGACAUUUUCUCUUGUUACCAAGAUGUAUUUUUCUAUGUUAGUUAAA
This is a long non-coding RNA of Hipposideros armiger (great roundleaf bat), 9139 nucleotides long. RefSeq lists it as uncharacterized. The record is from RefSeq and is a predicted model, not a curated record. The transcript has 4 exons. Lineage: Eukaryota; Metazoa; Chordata; Mammalia; Chiroptera; Hipposideridae.